Molecule: ribosomal RNA, 359 nt
Filed under: uncultured bacterium
Lineage: Bacteria
Description: bacterial SSU rRNA
Rfam family: Bacterial small subunit ribosomal RNA
Source: RNAcentral
AAUCAACGCUGGCGGCGUGCCUCAGACAUGCAAGUCGAACGCGAAAGGCUCCUUCGGGGGCCGAGUAGAGUGGCGCACGGGUGAGUAACACGUAGGUAAUUUGCCUUUGGGUGGGGAAUAACUCAGGGAAACUUGAGCUAAUACCGCAUAAUGCAGCGGCUCGACAUCGAGACAGUUGUUAAAGCGGGGGAUCGCAAGACCUCGCGCCUGAAGAGAAGCCUGCGGCAGAUUAGCUAGUUGGUAGGGUAAUGGCCUACCAAGGCGACGAUCUGUAACCGGCCUGAGAGGGCGGUCGGUCACACUGACACUGACAUACGGGUCAGACUCCUACGGGAGGCAGCAGUCGGGAAUUUUGGGUC